RNAcentral lists this ribosomal RNA (329 nucleotides) under uncultured eukaryote. RNAcentral's name for it is "partial 18S ribosomal RNA". It matches the Rfam family "Eukaryotic small subunit ribosomal RNA", at positions 1470 to 1796 of the family's 1831-position model. The record is from RNAcentral.
CCCUUAGAUGUUCUGGGCUGCACACGUGCUACACUGGCAGGUUCAGCGAGCUUCAUGCCCUGAUCUGAAAGGAAUGGGAAAUCUUUUCAAAACCUGCCGUGCUUGGGAUAGAUGUUUGCAAUUAUUCAUCUUCAACGAGGAUUGCCUUGUAAGCGCAUGUCAUCAGCAUGCAUUGAAUACGACCCUGUAUUCUGUACACACCGCCCGUCGCACCUACCGAUUGGAUGGUCCGGUGAAGCCUCGGGAUUGUGGUUCUUGCCGCUUUAUUGUGGCGUGACCGCGAGAACUUGUCUAAACCUUAUCAUCUAGAGGAAGGUGAAGUCGUAACA